GAUGAACGCUGGCGGCGUGCCUAAUACAUGCAAGUCGAGCGAACAGACGCGGCUCUUGCUCCUUUGACGUUAGCCGCGGAGGGGUGAGUCACACGUGUAUACCCUACCUAUAAUACUGGGAUAAUCUCGGGAAUCCGGAUCUAAUCCCGUAUAACAUCCUGAACCGCAUGGUUCAAUAGUGAAAGUCGGCCGUUCUGUCUCUUAUCGCUGCAUCCGCGCCGCAUUAGGUAGUUGUUAAGGUAACGGCUUACCAAGGCAACGAUGCGUAGCCGACCGGAGAGGGUGAUCGCCCACACGGGAGCGGAGACACGGUCCAGAGUCCUGCGGGAGGCAGCAGUAGGGAAUCGUCCGCAGUGGGCGAGAGCCUGACGGAACGGCGCGGCGUGAGUGGAGAAGGUGUUCGGAGCGUAAAGCUGGGUUAUUAGGGAAAAACAAAUGUGGCAGUAACUAUGGACGUAUUGACGGUACCGAGUCAGAAAGCCACGGCUAACUACGUG
RNAcentral lists this ribosomal RNA (497 nucleotides) under uncultured bacterium. RNAcentral describes it as "partial 16S ribosomal RNA". It matches the Rfam family "Bacterial small subunit ribosomal RNA", at positions 28 to 507 of the family's 1533-position model. The record is from RNAcentral.